GUGGCGUAGACAGACUCCAGAGAUCUACUCUAGCGGACUACUAGAGAAAAGCAGUAAAAUUACAAGUAGACUACUCCUAAAAAAUACAGAAAAUUGCGAGGAAAAUAAAGGUGGUCUUUUGUUCACAGAGAAAAAGACCCCUUUUUAGGGCAUUAUUACCCUAUUUAUAGAUCGGCCCCUUAAUCAGUUAUUGCUCUUAUACGAUCGGCCAUUAUCUCCUUAUAUCCCGGACCACCUCCAGCCGAUCGGAACCGCAUGUAACUGCUUGCGGUUACUGUAACUUCCUUC
RNAcentral lists this long non-coding RNA (288 nucleotides) under Ananas comosus (pineapple). RNAcentral describes it as "long non-coding RNA (ACOM_LNC025758)". The record is from RNAcentral. Lineage: Eukaryota; Viridiplantae; Streptophyta; Magnoliopsida; Poales; Bromeliaceae.